This 2247-nucleotide long non-coding RNA is filed under the name Homo sapiens (human). Its description in RNAcentral is "LHRI_LNC1913.1". The record is from RNAcentral. Lineage: Eukaryota; Metazoa; Chordata; Mammalia; Primates; Hominidae.
ACCCGCUUGGGUCCCCUUCCACACUGUGGAAGCUUUGUUCUUUUGCUCUUUGCAAUAAAUCUUGCUACUGCUCACUCUUUGGGUCCAUGCUGCUUUUAUGAGCUGUAACACUCACCACGAAGGCCUGCAGCUUCACUCCUGAAGCCAGCGAGACCACGAGCCCGCCGGGAGGAACGAACAACUCCAGAUGUGCCGCCUUAAGAGCUGUAACACUCACCGCAAAGGUCUGCAGCUUCACUCCUGAGCCAGCGAGACCACGAACCCACCAGAAGGAAGAAACUCCGAACACAUCCGAACAUCAGAAGGAACAAACUCCAGACGCACCACCUUAAGAGCUGUAACACUCACCGCAAGGGUCCGCAGUUUCAUUCUUGAAGUCAGUGAGACCAAGAACCCACCAAUUCCGGACACAUUUUGGCGACCCAGAUGGGACUUUCGCCUAUCACCAAGCGGUGAGACCAUCACCUAUAGCUGAGCGGCGAGACCAUCACCUAUCACCAAGCAAAUCAAGGCCAUCAAGCUACAGAUGGGCUUACAAAUGGAACCCAAAAUGAGUUCAACUAACAACUUCUACCAAGGGCCCCUGGACCGACCCACUGGCACUUCCCCUGGCCUAGAGUUCCCCUCUGAAGGACACUACAACUGCAAGGCCCCUUCUUCACCCCAUCCAGCAGGAAGUAGCUAGAGCGGUCAUCGGCCAAAUUCCCAACAGCAGUUGGGGUGUCCUGUUUAGAGGGGGGAUUGAGAGGUGACAGCAUGCUGGCAGUCCUCAGCCCUCACUCACUCUUGGCACCUCCUCUGCCCGGGCUCCCACUUUGGUGGCACUUGAGGAGCGCUUCAGCCCACCGCUGCACUGUGGGAGCCCCUUUCUGGGCUGGCCAAGGCCAGAGCCGGCUCCCUCAGCUUCCAGGGAGGUGUGGAGGGAGAGGCUCAAGCGGGAACUGGGGCUGCGUGCGGCGCUUGCGGGCCAGCUGGAGUUCCGGGCGGGCGUGGGCUUGGCGGGCCCUGCACUCAGAGCAGCCAGCCGGCCCUGCCGGCCCCGGGCAGUGAGGGGCUUAGUACCUGGGCCAGCAGCUGUGAAGGGUGUACUGGGUCCCCCAGCAGUGCCAGCCCACCGGCGCUGCACUCGAUUUCUCACCGGGCCUUAGCCGCCUUCCCAUGGGGCAGGGCUUGGGACCUGCAGCCCGCCAUGCCUGAGCCUCCCACACCCCCUCCAUGGGCUCCUGUGCGGCCCGAGCCUCCUCGACGAGCGCCACCCCCUGCUCCACGGCACCCAGUCCCAUCGACCACCCAAGGGCUGAGGAGUGCGGGCGCACGCAGGGGACUGGCAGGCAGCUCCACCUGCAGCCCCGGUGCGGGAUUCACCGGGUGAAGCCAGCUGGGCUCCUGAAUCUGGUGGGGCUUUGGAGAACCUUUACAAUCCCUGAGCUAGACAUAAAUACACCAAUCGGCACUCUGUAUCUAGCUCAAGGUUUGUAAACACACCAGUCAGCACCCUGUGUCUAGCUCAGGGUUUGUGAGUGCACCAAUUGACACUCUGUAUCUAGCUGCUCUGGUGGGGCCGUGAAGAACCUUUAUGUCUAGCUCAGGGAUUGUAAAUACACCAAUCGGCACUCUGUAUCUAGCUCAAGGUUUGUAAACACACCAAUCAGCACCCUGUGUCUAGCUCAGGGUUUGUGAGUGCACCAAUGGACACUCUGUAUCUAUCUGCUCUGGUGGGGCCUUGGAGAACCUUUGUGUGGAUACUCUGUAUCUAAUCUGAUGGGGACGUGGAGAACCUUUGUAUCCAGCUCAGGGAUUGUAAACGCACCAAUCAGCGCCCUGUCAAAACAGACCACUGGGCUCUACCAAUCAGCAGGACGUGGGUGGGGCCAGAUAAGAGAAUGAAACCAGGCUGCCCCAGCCAGCAGUGGCAACCCGCUUGGGUCCCCUUCCACACUGUGGAAGCUUUGUUCUUUUGCUCUUUGCAAUAAAUCUUGCUACUGCUCACUCUUUGGGUCCAUGCUGCUUUUAUGAGCUGUAACACUCACCACGAAGGCCUGCAGCUUCACUCCUGAAGCCAGCGAGACCACGAGCCCGCCGGGAGGAACGAACAACUCCAGAUGUGCCGCCUUAAGAGCUGUAACACUCACCGCAAAGGUCUGCAGCUUCACUCCUGAGCCAGCGAGACCACGAACCCACCAGAAGGAAGAAACUCCGAACACAUCCGAACAUCAGAAGGAACAAACUCCAGACACACCACCUUAA